CAAACCCCGAAACAAAGAAAUAGGAUUAAAUUGACAAAUUUUAUAAAAUUAAGAUCUAAAUUUGUAGUUUAGCCGAUAGCUUAUUUUAAUGUAUGUUUUAAAAGUUCAGGGAAGAAAAAGAGAGUUCGUCUACAGUGGGUAAAACAAAUCACCUUCCUCUUCUAUCCUUCCAUCCUUCCAUCCUUCCAUCCUUGCACUCCUGAUGGAUCAACAGCAACCACCUCCGCCAACCCCUAAUGCUCCUCCUCCUUCCUCCGCCGUCGACCCACCUCCGCAACCACAGCCGCAGCCACAAAUUCAACAACAAACAACGCCAACGCCCCCGUCAACAUCCUCUACCGCAAUCCCUAACCCUAUCCUGAAACCCUUACCUUCCGCCAUACCACCACCGCAACAGCCGCCGCAGCCUAAACCAGCUCUCCCCUCUCAUCAGCCAAGACCCGCCGCUGCAUUCUCGAGGCCAUGGCAACAACACUCUUCCCAGUUCACUCAUUUCUCUUCCUCUUCUCCUUCCGCCUCAUCGUCUCCUUCCCCUUCACUUUCCUCUCAGCCGCGAGGCAGCAUUGCCCUCGGUGUUCCUUCGUCCCAUUCUGGCCCCUUGCCUCCUUCUCCUUCACCUUCGCAAUCCACUCCGUUUACCGGUUCCUUUGGCCAUUCCUUCGGUGGAACCUCUAGUUCCAAUGUUUCCCAGGCAAGGCCGAUGAUGCGAGGAAUAGGGAUGGGAUCAUCAGUUGGUUCAAGUUCACAAAUGAGACCAGGUGGGAUUUCUGCUCAGCAUCAACAAAGGCCUUUGCAAUCAUCUCUUAGACCAACAUCUUCACCAACUAGCCAGUCCGCUUCUACCCAAAAUUUCCAAGGGCAUGGCCUUAUGAGAGUGUCAGCGGUUGGUUCCUCUUCUUCAACACCAAGUACUCCACAAACUCCACAAUCCCCUAAUCAGCCGUGGCUAUCAUCUGGAGCGCAAGGGAAGCCACCUUUGCCACCCCCUUGGCAUAGACCACAGAUUAAUGCACCAUCCUUGCAGCCGAGGGCACAUAUACCCCAGCAACAUCAUUCAUUGCAAACAAUUUCACAACAGCAGCAUGUAUCAUCUCCACAGGUGCCACCACAAAAUAUAUCGUCGAUUCAGCAGCAGGAACCUUUUGAGCAACAGUUUUCGCAAUCAAGGGCCUCACAAUCUCUACCUCAUCAACAACAAGAUUCCAGAUCCCAGGGCUCUGCAAAUCAAAAGCCUUCUUCUCUCGCAAUGGUACAACCAAGCACAGUCCAGGUGACCCAAAACAAAGCAGCAAUUACAGAAAGUGAUGAUUCUGGUGGUCGGAUUCUUAGCAAAAGAAGCAUCCAUGAUAUAGUUAACCAGAUUGAUCCAUCUGAGAAAUUGGAUCCUGAAGUUGAAGAUAUUCUUGUGGAUAUUGCUGAAGACUUUGUGGAUUCUAUCACAACAUUUGGUUGCUCACUGGCCAAGCAUAGAAAGUCAGAUACAUUGGAAGCAAAAGACAUUCUCCUACAUCUUGAGAGAAAUUGGAAUAUGACGCUUCCGGGAUUUAGUGGUGAUGAGAUUAAGACUUACAAAAAACCGCUUACAAAUGAGGUUCACAAAGAGCGGCUUGCAGUGAUAAAGAAAUCAAUCUUAGCGAGCGAGGCAGCCAAUGCUAAGCACAUCAUUGGACAAACUGCUGUGAACACAAAGGGUAACGUUGGAAAAGUGGCUGCUAAUAUCUUGGGCUCUCCAAAUGUUAAAAUACGAGAAGUAUCAUGAGGCUCUAUUUAUUUUUUUGACAACAUUCAAGCUCAGAAUCCUUUUAGAAGGGAUCGGUUGCCUGAGAAGCAUUAUCGUCGAUGGGAAGAACAAACCAAACUUUUUCCCCUCCUACAUUGAACAACAACUUAAUGAUGCUCUUAUUGCGCUUUGCUGAAAAUUCUUUGAAAAUACCUUGGUAUUGAAAUCCCGCUCUUGAAUCCAGGUUCUUGAAUUUUGUCGAUAAAAACUAACCUCAACUGCUAGCAACAGUUGCAUGUAAUGGUUGUAUAGAUCUUUCUCCCGGUCACCAUGUCUGUAUCAGGGUUGGUGUUGUAGUUGCUAAAUUUUCUGUCUCCUUCCUUUUCUCGCAAACUUCUGUGGAGAUAUCUCCAUAAAAAAUGUCUUAACUCUUCUAGCUUCAAUCUGAUCGCUUAUCAUUCACAAUUACUCUCUGUCCAAUUAUGUAGCCAGAAAUCCUUGCUGUUGAUGAUGAGUCCAAGUGAAAGCAGGCAUGAUCCUAGAUAAGACUCCAAUCCCAGAUAAACAGUCUCGAAACUCCAUGAUAUCGCCAGUCAUAUUGUAGUGAAACUCUGCUGCUAGCAUCGAUGGGCUUCUUAUGUUGCAUGUCGUGAAGAUGAUCCUGUAACAUCCAUUUCUUAUAUAUAUAUUAAAUGUAUAAAAGUAUUAAAUGAAAUUUUGGUUGAUUGCUAAA
Gossypium arboreum is the source of this 2453-nucleotide RNA transcript. It is a transcript of the gene named transcription initiation factor TFIID subunit 12, with no coding region annotated. The transcript has 9 exons. The record is from RefSeq and is a predicted model, not a curated record. NCBI's taxonomy places the organism in Eukaryota, Viridiplantae, Streptophyta, Magnoliopsida, Malvales, Malvaceae.